UCAGGGAAUGCGGGAGCACAGAGAAGACUCGCCAUUCCCAGGCCUGGGAGUGGGGUGCCGGGAGAGGGAGAGAGGAUGCUUCUUGUGGAGAUGGCUUCUUAGUUCACUCUGAGAAGACGAGGGUGAGGAAUCUUAUUGAAGUGGGAGAGGGCAGCAGACUAGGACUUGCCAAGGACACCAGAGAUAUCCGGAAGCCACUGAUGCUGUGUUCUUCAACGAAGCCCCCAAGAAUCAUGCCGGUCCUGAUCAUUCUGCAAAAUAUUUAAAUAUAGAGGAAUGAAUGAAUAUGUCAGCAAAAACAAGUACUUCCCCCAUUUGUUUCAAAGUCUGAAAAACCCUAAUAAAAGCCAAAUAAUAAA
Molecule: long non-coding RNA, 359 nt
Organism: Chinchilla lanigera (long-tailed chinchilla)
Lineage: Eukaryota; Metazoa; Chordata; Mammalia; Rodentia; Chinchillidae
Exons: 2
Source: RefSeq, a predicted model, not a curated record